RNAcentral lists this ribosomal RNA (496 nucleotides) under uncultured bacterium. RNAcentral's name for it is "partial 16S ribosomal RNA". It matches the Rfam family "Bacterial small subunit ribosomal RNA", at positions 30 to 523 of the family's 1533-position model. The record is from RNAcentral.
AUUGAACGCUGGCGGAAUGCUUUACACAUGCAAGUCGAACGGUAGAGGGGGCAACCCCUCGAGAGUGGCGAACGGGUGAGUAAUAUAUCGGAACGUGCCCAGUCGUGGGGGAGAACGUAGCGAAAGUUACGCUAAUACCGCAUACGAUCUAAGGAUGAAAGCGGGGGAUCGCAAGACCUCGCGCGAUUGGAGCGGCCGAUAUCAGAUUAGGUAGUUGGUGGGGUAAAGGCUCACCAAGCCAACGAUCUGUAGCUGGUCUGAGAGGACGACCAGCCACACUGGAGCUGAGACACGGUCCAGACGCCUACGGGAGGAAGCAGUGGGGAAUUUUGGACAAUGGACGCAAGUCUGAUCCAGCCAUUCCGCGUGCAGGAUGAAGGCCCUCGGGUUGUAAACUGCUUUUGUACGGAACGAAAAGGUCUCUCUUAAUACGGGGGACUCAUGACGGUACCGUAAGAAUAAGCACCGGCUAACUACGUGCCAGCAGCCGCAGUAA